Molecule: small nuclear RNA, 106 nt
Organism: Arvicola amphibius (Eurasian water vole)
Lineage: Eukaryota; Metazoa; Chordata; Mammalia; Rodentia; Cricetidae
Source: RefSeq, a predicted model, not a curated record
GUGUUCUUCAGCAGCACACAAACUAAAACUGGAGCAAUACAGAGCGGAUUAGCACGGCCCCUGUGCAAAGGAUGACACACAAAUUUGUUAAGUGUCCCAUUAUUUU